This is a long non-coding RNA of Papilio xuthus (Asian swallowtail), 268 nucleotides long. RefSeq lists it as uncharacterized. The transcript has 2 exons. NCBI's taxonomy places the organism in Eukaryota, Metazoa, Arthropoda, Insecta, Lepidoptera, Papilionidae. The record is from RefSeq and is a predicted model, not a curated record.
AACUGAUACUCGCAGUUUUCGGCGAAUAAGUUGUUUGUAUAAAACAGGUAUAAAAUUUAUAACAUGUUACAAUGUAUGUCAUUAGGUCUAACGAAAUGGCAGGGAGAGCUGUCCUGUUCGCUUUUUUUACUUUAGUCGCGUACACUACAGCCGAUGGACAAAAUGACCUGACCAGGAUACAACGCUCCCCGCACUACUGCGACUAUCCACCACCGCCACCGCCGACUCCCCCACCUCCUCCACCACUAGGACCACCACCUCCUCCUCC